AGUCCAUCUGUGUCGUUUUUUUUGGUCGCAAUCAAAUAGUCACUUAACUAAUAGGUUUGCAACACAAAAAAAGCAGAUUUCUCUUUUAGGAUGGGUGGUGUGUAACAGGCGCACAUUCUUCGUCAAUACGUAGGGAAUGGGAGGGAGUGGGCGCGCGCAGCUGUCAGUCCAGGAGUUUGCUUCUCGUGCUCAGUCGGUCAGUUUGCUCCACGCCGAGAGUCCCGACCCACCUCACAGUUCCAGUACUCUGCCAUUCACUGUUAAACCAAUGAGAAGAAUGGGAGCAAAGUUGAGUCGGAGGAAGAGCGAGGGGGCUGCAAUAGAGGGAGCUGUGGUGGAGGCUCCAUCCCAGGAUCAGCCUGCCACACCUGAAGCUUUAUCUGUUCCUCAGAGCAGUGAGCAGAAUCUGCAGUGGAGCUGAGGCCACACUUGAAGCCAAGCCCAAGAAGUGUCCCACCAAUAGCAGCUGACAGCAAACCUAUCCCUGGGGCUCUAGAUGUUAUCACACAAACUGCAGAGGAAACUGUGAGUGCCAUUAGCCAACAGAUUGCUGGCCAGUUGAAGAAUUCUAAACAAGAGCAUAGGAGCUGUGGAGGCCAUGAUGGCAGCUGUUGGCUUGAAGGAUGAGGUCCCAGAUCCAGAGCCCAAGCCUGAGACCCUGGUAGAUCUUUCAGAGGAGACUAAACCCAAAAUGAUUUUCUCCACUCCUAAAGCUCCUGAAGGCCUUGCCUACUUACCAUCUGACCUGCCGUCGCACAAACCAUCUCAGAAGCACUCCUCCACUGAGCCCUGUUGCUGCAGCAAUAGCUGAUGAUGUUGCACCUUUUAGCGGUGGAGAGGGAGGAAAUUCCCAGUCAAUUUGAUAUUCGUGCACGCCCUGAGCGCAAGGAAUUGUUGGCAUGCAUGAACCAGGAUGCAGAACCACCAGCAGAAACCUCUGAAACUAUGAAGUUAGUGUUGAUCCCUCAACUCUAAACUUUGACCUUUGGUUGAUCUGGGGGACAUGGGACAGGGGGUGAGCACAGCUGUCAACACGAUCAAUGACCUUAUAUAAACCCAUGGACAUGCUAAAAGAAUCAACUGCUAAAGGGACAAUAGGUGCAAGGAGUCAGACCAUGACAACAGCCAAGAUAAUGGCGAAGCAUGCCUAAAUCAAUCCUUUUUAUUGAAGUUUUAAAAUAUCCUGUAUAACCACUGACAAAUUGUGAGCUUGUAGGCAUGAAAUGGUUGAACUCUACAUCUAAACACCAGUUCCAGCAUAAACACAAGCCACUACCCAGCAUUAUUUUUCUUGUAGUCAUGUAAGGAAAAAAAAAACAGGUUUAAAAUGUUAAAUGAGUAAAAUAACCUUUUUAUUUACUCUGUAUGAAUAAAGUACCAUCACAGAAAUGCAAUAAGAACAUGUUAAAACAAUGAUUGCAAGUGAGAAAAUAAAAUUAAACUGUUACAGACCUUAAUGUCUAAUCUCUAACCUGGUUGACUCUUUACAAUUACAAAGGGCUUAUCUAUUUUUGUCUGGCAAUUUGCUGGUGUAGCUGGAAUAGGUUAUUUAUCCAAGUAGUGCAAAUCAUCAGCCUGUACAAAGUUUUAAAUUAGCCAGACAAUACAGCGGGGUUGAUUUUAGGAAUCAAGUGAAACAAUGUCAAAAAUUAAACAUAUAGGAAAGUAUGUGAAUUGUUCCAGUACACAAAGAAAGCUCUGCAGAACUUCAGAAUAUGCAGUAAUGAGGUUUCCUGCUACUGUACUUGGAUUUCUUUUAACUCAACACACACAUUCUCAUAUACAUGUAGGGGGAAGGGCCACAUUCCUUCCAGAGAAAAAAGGUUUUCAGAAGUCACAAGGGAAAUUCAGUUUUGGGGUACAAACUCUAGGACAUAGCCUUAGAAGCCUCUGUCCCAUAUAAAUCGCUCAUUCCUCUAUAUCUAGUAAAGAAUAUGACUAUUAGGUGAGAUUCUCACAAUGGCCAGUAAAGUUUAGAAGAAAGAGUAAGGACUGAAGCAAUGAGAUAUUGACCACUGCCCAACACCCACCCCAAACAUAAAAAGAAAUUUGGAAAGAACUUUAAUUCAAACAAAGUUCAACAAAACAAGUAAUAAAGAAACUUGCAUACAUGUUCAAGAUUUAAACUUAGAGUGACAGACUUCUACAAUGGUCUGAUGGCUGACUUGGGUGUUAAUGUGUAAAACAUUGUGCAGAAUGCCAGUUUAACAAACUUUUGGGUCAGCAGAAUCCAGUGUUGUAAGGUCUGGUGUCUGAGGUAAGCCCAGUUUUAGUUUUCUGCAAAUAUGAGGAGAGGAAAAAAGGUUUCAAAAAAUAGCACAUGG
Long non-coding RNA from Electrophorus electricus (electric eel), 2324 nucleotides. The record is from Ensembl. Lineage: Eukaryota; Metazoa; Chordata; Actinopteri; Gymnotiformes; Gymnotidae.